CACGUAGGGGGCGAGCGUUAUCCGGAUUCAUUGGGCGUAAAGCGCGCGCAGGCGGCGCGCCAAGCGGGACCUCUAAUCUGGGGGCUCAACCCCCAGCCGGGUCCCGAACUGGCGCGCUCGGGUUCGGUAGGGGAGGUCGGAAUUCCCGGUGUAGCGGUGGAAUGCGCAGAUAUCGGGAAGAACACCGAUGGCGAAGGCAGACCUCUGGGCCGCGACCGACGCUGAGGCGCGAAAGCUAGGGGAGCGAACA
RNAcentral lists this ribosomal RNA (250 nucleotides) under uncultured prokaryote. RNAcentral's name for it is "partial 16S ribosomal RNA". It matches the Rfam family "Bacterial small subunit ribosomal RNA", at positions 524 to 774 of the family's 1533-position model. The record is from RNAcentral.